CAGACUUUGCAAAAUGCCUUAAAAUGUUGACGUGUAUACCAACCUUUAUUAGCAUCAAAUCAUCCACAGAAUUGCAAACUGCAUAGGAGUCACUUAUAAUUAAAAUAAAUACACAAAUGUACAGUGGAAGAAUGAGGAAAAUGCACUACAAGCUGCAUAAUUUGCAAGUAGGUAGCAAAGGGGAAGAGUACAAAUGUUUAAAGAAGCAACAAUGCAAUCAAAUACGAAGAUUUCUCAAGAAGCAUUACUUUCCUGAAUACAUAAUAUAGUUAAACUUAAUAUACCUUUUCCUUUAUAUUGGCUGCUUUCCAGUAUUAUCUCUGCUUCUGAUGCUAUAUCUGCAGUUUUAUAUACUAGAGUGUAUUGAUUCUUAGAAAAGUUGGUGUAUGUUGCCCAGAGAGUACAUUAUCUGGUACUCCUAGAACAAAGACCAUGGGUAAGACCCAGAAAAAGAUGGUGCAAAACACUGAAGGAGGACAAAUUUUGGAGUGAGCUUGGAAGACACACUCAACAGGAAUGCUUGGAGACAAAGAACAGAAGCUGCCCACCCUGACUGACAGAGAAUUAAAGCAUCUGUUUGGAGGGGAAAACUGGAGAAUUACACACAUUGGCUAAUGUAAAUAAGGAAAAGGUAGGUCAAAUUUAGAAUAUAAUAACCUUGAUUGUGAACCUUUAAGUGAUGGCUAAGUUCUACAUCCUACCCAAGAUACAGUUGCUCAAAAGUAUUUGAUGGUAUUGCCACUAUGUUUAUAAGAAUGUUUGACUCAUUAAUCAUGAGCACUAUCAUGCCUAGCUCAUUAAUCAUCAGCACUAUCCUGCUCUACCAGGGGCCAAUUCUUCCCUGCAACAGGUGUGAGUAACUAACAUACACUGGAAGGGGGAGAGAGAAUGAGUCCAUCCUUAUCUAAGCCUUCAACUGCAUAUCAAACAACAGAUCCUCUUUUUGUGGGCUGCUUCUCUUUCCUUUUACAAUGGGGUGCGGUGUCAGAUCAGAGAGCGUGUUUAUAUUACUUUGGAGUGGAAAAGAAUAAAGGCAGUUUCUGUGAGUGGACUUGAAAAGGGCUGCAUUGAUUUUUUUUGUUUUUUUUUUUGUUUUCCCCCUUCCAUCAGAGCUGCUGGAAACCUCCUUCCCUCCCCAAUGCUCACCUCUUCCUGCCUUUGUCAGGAAAGUGUUACAUCUGACACCUUUCCAGUAAGGUACAGAAAUGCAAAUUUAGAAAUCCAGCAACACAUAAUCAGAGGAUGUAAACUUUCUGUGAACCUAAUUUGUGGAUUUAAAAAAAUCCCCUAUUUUAGCACAUUUCUAAAAUGCUUUUGACACUUUUUGGGACUAAUUGUAUUGCUUGGGCCUAGCUGAUUUUUCUUAGAACUAAAACACUGUUGAGAAUUAUGAACAGACAAGUAGAUUUCCCUCCCUCCAGGAAGGGCGGAGUACACACACUUGGUUUCUGUUAAUAUUAUUUAUACCCAGGCGUUCUGGUUUUAUUAAAAGAGCAGACGCCCUUAGUUAACAUACCUAAAACUAAAACCUCCUCCCGCUGUUUGUGUAUUUCAUUGUGGACACAGCUUCUCCACUAACACAAUCUAAGAAGCACACUGGGGACUUGCAUGGCUAUGGAGCUAGUAUGUCACUCCCUCAGUGCCGCUAAAAACAAAUAUGCAGCAACAAUCACUAGAGUAUUCAGGUUUCAGAGUAGCAGCCGUGUUAGUCUGUAUCUGCAAAAAGAAAAAAGGAGUACUUGUGGUACCUUAGAGACUAACAAAUUUAUUUGAGCAUAAGCUUUCAUGAGCUCCAAGGUGCCACAAGUACUCCUUUUUUCUUUUUUAGAGUAUUCAGUUAUAUUAUUCGACAGUUACAAAAAGCCAUCAAUCCACUGCUGUAACAUUCCGGAGUGGGCUAAAUAUGCACCAGGCAGUGCUUUCUCUCUUCAGCUGCAGCAAAAUGCAGAAGGGGCAUCAGAAGAGCCCUAACCAAGAGUCUCUUUCAUCUCAUGGAAAUGAAACCAAGCUGAGCUGCUGCUGCUGCACUUCCCACAGACUCGGAACACUUCCCCUGCUGCCGGGGAAUCUCCGCACAAGCUGUACACUUGGAGGAGCUUGAGGACAACCACUGCCAGAGCGGCUUGUUGGAUGUGUGUGAUCGAUGGUGAAAAUGCUCUGAGACGGAUUAACGCACAGGACUUCACCAAGUGUCUCGUGAUGACUUAAAUCUCUAAAC
Molecule: long non-coding RNA, 2218 nt
Organism: Chelonia mydas (Green sea turtle)
Lineage: Eukaryota; Metazoa; Chordata; Testudines; Cheloniidae
Exons: 3
Source: RefSeq, a predicted model, not a curated record